AGAUUUUAACUACCAUUAUGAAGAGCACAACUUUGGAAGGGAAAGGCCUGCCUCCUGUUGUAAAGUAGGAGAAGGAAACAAGCUGCCACGUAAGAAGUUCCUUUCACCUCCCCCAUGAUUCUGAGAUCUCCCCAGCCAUGUGGAACUCAUUUUAUAUGUGGGAAGCACUUAGGAAAUAAAUGUUCAAUGAAUGAAUUAAUGAAGGAAUGAAUGCAAAAACAGCUAUGAAAAAAAGCUUAAAAAGAUUCUGCCUGCUUAUGCAAGAUGCUAAUCAUAGCAUUCCAGAAUGCUAAUGGAGAAUUAGCCCAUUUUGAAUUUUGGGAAGAGGACCAGUCUGACCAUACAUACACACUUUUCUCAGCACAUGACAGACAGUAGCAUCCUAGCAGCCAUCCUGUAUUUUGAAGAUGAAUGAGUGACACCAAGGAUGAGAAAGUGAGUGUGGAGUCCUGGACUUCCCAUCUCCAGACCUCUUACAGGAAAGAGGAAAAGGAAACCUGUGUCUUCUUAAUGUCAUGAUUAUUUGGGUUUUUUGUUCAGAGAAUUCUGCCAAACCUAACACUCAUUUAAAAGCUUAUCAAGCAAUUAUUAUAAAUUUAUUGAGUGAGCACUUUCUAUUCUUAAAAUUUGGGAUUUGCCCUUUCAUUAAUAGUAGAAAUAUAAGAAAUUAUCCUUGCUCUUUUUUGAAAAUUUACUUUAAGAAAUAAGGCUGACCUUGAGCACAAUGCUGUGUCAAAACUCUGUCAGAAAUACACAUAAACUUACAUAACACUCCAUACUUCUUUUGUGGUGACCCUUUCCACAUGACUUUUCCUUCUUAAUAGUACUGUAAGGUUCUUGAAAAAGAAGCUGGGUCUAAUUCGUACAUCGAGUAAUCAAUAAAAGCAUUACAGCUGUGACACAAUGAAAAUGAUAUGUGAGUUUUCCUGCCAUUCUGCUUACCUCUUACAGCAAGAGAUAAUUCCAGCUUGGUCAAUUGUGUCUUGCCUAUUUCCUUUCCUAACAUUCAAGAAACUCCUUCUUAACCACUUAAGUGCUUGGACUCUUGCAACAGAGAAUCAGGACAAAGUAGGAGAACAGUAUUAGGUUGGUGCAAAGGUAAUUGCGGUUUUUGCCAUUACCUUCGAUAGCAAAAACUGCAAGUACCUUUGCACCAACCUAAUAGUUCAAGGGACUAUUCUACUAUAAGGCAAGGGACACAUGGUGGCAAAAGCUAGAAGAAUAUUUUCUUCUUGAUGUUUAGCACCUUUUUUCAAAGGUUUAAAUUCAUUAGAGUACAUAAUUUAAAUAUAAUUAAAUGCACCCAUUUUAAGUGUAUAACAAAAUGAGUUUUGACAAAUGUAUAUGCCUAAGCUACCGUCAGCCCAAAUGUAAUAUAAAACACUUCAAGCAUCCCACUAUGACCUCUCAAGCACAUUGAAGUUCUAGCCUCAAGUAAUCAUUGAUGCGUUUCCUGUUACUGUAGGUUCGUUUUGCCUAUUCUGAAAUUUCAUAUUGGUGGAAUCAUAAAACAUAUUCUCAUAUGCAUCUGUAUUCUUUCACUCAGCAUGAUAUUUUUGAGAUUAAUUCAGGUUUUAUAGUGUUUCAGUAGUUCUUUUUUUGGUAAGACAAAUAACAUUUACUAUAGAAAAUAACUAUUUUUUUAAAUAGUGGGGUAAGUAACUGCACUGCAUCUGGCAGAAGGCAGGCCCUUAAGUAAGAUUAGCCUUUCUUUUUAUCCCAACCAAGCCAAGAAGACCUCAUCCUUCAAAGUUCAUUCAUUUUUAUUGAAGAGUAAUAGUUUAUUGCAACACAGUGAAAAGGUAACCUACAGAAAGAGAGAAAAAUAUUUGCAAACUAUAUAUCCUAUGUUGAUUAAUUCCCAAAAUAUCUAAGUAAUGCCUACAACUCAAUGGCAUAAUGGUUAAUUUCCAAAAUAUCUAAGGAACUCCUACAACUCAAUGGUUUAAAAAACAUAAUAACUCAAUUUUUAAAUGCGCUAAAGACUCAUCUAGAUAUUUGUCUAAAGAAGACAUACAAAUGGCCAAUAGGUAGAUGAAAAAAUGAUCAAUGUCACUAAUCAUCGGGGAAAAGAAAUCAAAACCACAAGAUAUCACCUGACACCUGGUGGAAUGACUCUAAUUUUUUUAAAAGAGAAGAAGUGUUGGCAAAAAUGUGGACAAAAGGAAAUUUUGAACUUUUGAACUUUUGAAUGGUGUUGAUGGGAAUCCAAAAUGGCACAGCUGCUAUGAAAAACAGUAUGGAAGUUCUUCGAAAACGUAAGAAUUGAACUACUAUAUGAUCCGGCAAUCCCACUUCUAAGUAUUUACCUAAUGGAAUAAAAACAAGACCUCAAGGAGACAUUAGCACUUCUAUAUUCAUUGCAGCACUAUUCAUACUAACCAAGAUGUGGAAACAACUCAAAUAUCCAUCAACAAUUGAAUGUAUAAUUAAAAUGUGGUAUAUACGUAUAACAAGAUACUAUACAGGUGUUUGUUGGGUCAUUGAGAGAGAAACAUUGGAACACUUUGGAGUGGUUUAUGAGGGCAGUGGGUGCAAGAAAACAGAAUUUGGAGAUGAUUUGGUUGGCCUAUGUUCCCUUCAAAUAAAGGACUUUACUACACUGUA
This 2607-nucleotide long non-coding RNA is filed under the name Homo sapiens (human). RNAcentral describes it as "HSALNT0327031". The record is from RNAcentral. Lineage: Eukaryota; Metazoa; Chordata; Mammalia; Primates; Hominidae.